CUGCUUGUUUCAGCAGCACACAUACUAAAAUUAGAACCACACAGAGAAGAUUAACAUGGCCACUGUGUGGGGAUGAUAGGUAAUUCAUGAAGCAUUGCGUAUUUUC
Small nuclear RNA from Perognathus longimembris pacificus (Pacific pocket mouse), 106 nucleotides. The record is from RefSeq and is a predicted model, not a curated record. NCBI's taxonomy places the organism in Eukaryota, Metazoa, Chordata, Mammalia, Rodentia, Heteromyidae.